This is a non-coding RNA of Oryza glumipatula, 205 nucleotides long. The record is from Rfam. NCBI's taxonomy places the organism in Eukaryota, Viridiplantae, Streptophyta, Magnoliopsida, Poales, Poaceae.
UUUAAGUAUAACCAUGAGUUUUCGCGCCCAACUUUGAUCGUCAGUUUUAUUUAAAAACUUUUUAUAAUUAAUAUUUUUGUUGUUAUGAGAUUAUAAAACAUGAAUAGUACUUUACUCAUGACUUAUGUUUUUAAAAUUUUUUUAAAAAAAAUUAAAUAAGACAGACGAUCAAAGUUGGAUGUGAAAAACUAUGGCUGUAUUUAAA